GGGCCGGUAGCUCAGCGGUAGAGCAUCUGACUUUUAAUCAGAGGGUCGCGGGUUCGAACCCCGCCCGGCUCA
Molecule: transfer RNA, 72 nt
Filed under: Dongia mobilis
Lineage: Bacteria; Pseudomonadati; Pseudomonadota; Alphaproteobacteria; Rhodospirillales; Dongiaceae
Description: Rhodospirillaceae bacterium LM22 tRNA
Rfam family: tRNA
About the family: Transfer RNA (tRNA) molecules are approximately 80 nucleotides in length. Their secondary structure includes four short double-helical elements and three loops (D, anti-codon, and T loops).
Source: Rfam by way of RNAcentral